GACGAACGCUGGCGGCGUGCUUAACACAUGCAAGUCGAACGGAAAGGCCCUGCUUUUGUGGGGUGCUCGAGUGGCGAACGGGUGAGUAACACGUGUGUAACCUGCCCUUGACUUUGGGAUAACUUCAGGAAACUGGGGCUAAUACCGGAUAGGAGCUCCUGCUGCAUGGUGGGGGUUGGAAAGUUUCGGCGGUUGGGGAUGGACUCGCGGCUUACCAGCUUGUUGGUGGGGUAGUGGCUUACCAAGGCUUUGACGGGUAGCCGGCCUGGGAGGGUGACCGGCCACAAUGGGACUGAGAGACGGACCAGAAUCCUACGGGAGGCAGCAGUGGGGAAUAUGGCACAAUGGGCGGAAGCCUGAUGCAGCAACGCCGCGUGCGGGAUGACGGCCUUCGGGUUGUAAACCGCUUUCGCCUGUGACGAAGCGUGAGUGACGGUAAUGGGUAAAGAAGCACCGGCUAACUACGUG
This 468-nucleotide ribosomal RNA is filed under the name uncultured bacterium. RNAcentral's name for it is "partial 16S ribosomal RNA". It matches the Rfam family "Bacterial small subunit ribosomal RNA", at positions 28 to 507 of the family's 1533-position model. The record is from RNAcentral.